GGCGGCGCGAGGCGGAAGCGGCGCGGCGCGGCGGUGGCGGCGCAUGCGCAGUGCGCGGUGCCCGGCCAUGCCGAAGGGAGCGCGGCCGGCGGGGGCCAAGCAGGAGGAAUGGAGGGGGGGCGAGGAGGAGCAACCCCUGAAGAAGGGCCGGAAGGACCGAAAGGGCAAAAAAUCCUUUUUCGAGGAGUUGGCCGAGGAGGAGAAGGCGGCGCCGGCCCCGCCCACCCCCGCCCCCGAGAGGGAGGGGCCAGCCCCUGCCCAGGUUAAUUAUGCUAAUUAUGCUAAUUAGGGUGGUGGGUUAUGCUAAUUAUGGAGGUUGGGGGAGGGGCACAAAGGGG
Long non-coding RNA from Taeniopygia guttata (zebra finch), 338 nucleotides. The record is from Ensembl. NCBI's taxonomy places the organism in Eukaryota, Metazoa, Chordata, Aves, Passeriformes, Estrildidae.